RNAcentral lists this transfer RNA (64 nucleotides) under Tropidophis feicki. RNAcentral describes it as "tRNA-Val". It matches the Rfam family "tRNA". Rfam says of the family: Transfer RNA (tRNA) molecules are approximately 80 nucleotides in length. Their secondary structure includes four short double-helical elements and three loops (D, anti-codon, and T loops). The record is from RNAcentral. Lineage: Eukaryota; Metazoa; Chordata; Lepidosauria; Squamata; Tropidophiidae.
CAAAAAGUAGCUUAACCUAAAGCAUUCGACUUACAAUCGAACGAUAUUACACCAAUCUUUUUGA